This 497-nucleotide ribosomal RNA is filed under the name uncultured bacterium. Its description in RNAcentral is "partial 16S ribosomal RNA". It matches the Rfam family "Bacterial small subunit ribosomal RNA", at positions 28 to 507 of the family's 1533-position model. The record is from RNAcentral.
GACGAACGCUGGCGGCGUGCCUAAUACAUGCAAGUUGAGCGCUGAAGGUUGGUACUUGUACCAACUGGAUGAGCAGCGAACGGGUGAGUACCGCGUGGGGAAUCUGCCUUUGAGCGGGGGACAACAUUUGGAAACGAAUGCUAAUACCGCAUAAAAACUUUAAACACAAGUUUUAAGUUUGAAAGAUGCAAUUGCAUCACUCAAAGAUGAUCCCGCGUUGUAUUAGCUAGUUGGUGAGGUAAAGGCUCACCAAGGCGAUGAUACAUAGCCGACCUGAGAGGGUGAGCGGCCACAUUGGGACUGAGACACGGCCCAAACUCCUACGGGAGGCAGCAGUAGGGAAUCUUCGGCAAUGGACGAAAGUCUGACCGAGCAACGCCGCGUGAGGGAAGAAGGUUUUCGGGUCGUAAAACUCUGUUGGUAGAGAAGAACGUUGGUGAGAGUGGAAAGCUCAUCAAGUGACGGUAACUACCCAGAAAGGGACGGCUAACUACGUG